Molecule: ribosomal RNA, 522 nt
Filed under: uncultured Glomeromycotina
Lineage: Eukaryota; Fungi; Glomeromycota
Description: SSU rRNA
Rfam family: Eukaryotic small subunit ribosomal RNA
Source: RNAcentral
AGCAGCCGCGGUAAUUCCAGCUCCAAUAGCGUAUAUUAAAGUUGUUGCAGUUAAAAAGCUCGUAGUUGAAUUUCGGGGUUAGUAGGUUGGUCAUGCCUCUGGUAUGUACUGGUCUCGCUGAUUCCUCCUUCCUGAUGAGCCGUAAUGCCAUUAAUUUGGUGUUGCGGGGAAUUUGGACUGUUACUUUGAAAAAAUUAGAGUGUUUAAAGCAAGCUAACGCUUGAAUACAUUAGCAUGGAAUAAUGAAAUAGGACGUUCGAUCCUAUUUUGUUGGUUUCUAGGAUUGACGUAAUGAUUAAUAGGGAUAGUUGGGGGCAUUAGUAUUCAAUUGUCAGAGGUGAAAUUCUUGGAUUUAUUGAAGACUAACUACUGCGAAAGCAUUUGCCAAGGAUGUUUUCAUUAAUCAAGAACGAAAGUUAGGGGAUCGAAGACGAUCAGAUACCGUCGUAGUCUUAACCAUAAACUAUGCCGACUAGGGAUCGGAUGAUGUUAAUUUUUUAAUGACUCAUUCGGCGCCUUACG